This 403-nucleotide ribosomal RNA is filed under the name uncultured bacterium. RNAcentral describes it as "bacterial SSU rRNA". It matches the Rfam family "Bacterial small subunit ribosomal RNA", at positions 355 to 776 of the family's 1533-position model. The record is from RNAcentral.
UGGGGAAUAUUGCACAAUGGGGGAAACCCUGAUGCAGCGACGCCGCGUGAGUGAAGAAGGUCUUCGGAUCGUAAAACUCUGUCCUUGGUGAAGAUAAUGACGGUAGCCAAGGAGGAAGCCCCGGCUAACUACGUGCCAGCAGCCGCGGUAAUACGUAGGGGGCGAGCGUUGUCCGGAUUUACUGGGCGUAAAGGGUGAGUAGGCGGUUAUAUGUGUCAGAUGUAAAAGGCUAAGGCUUAACCAUAGUUAGCAUUUGAAACUGUAUGACUUGAGUGCAGGAGAGGUAAGUGGAAUUCCUAGUGUAGCGGUGAAAUGCGUAGAUAUUAGGAGGAACACCAGUGGCGAAGGCGACUUACUGGACUGUAACUGACGCUGAGUCACGAAAGCGUGGGUAGCAAACAGG